Molecule: non-coding RNA, 271 nt
Organism: Schizosaccharomyces pombe (fission yeast)
Lineage: Eukaryota; Fungi; Ascomycota; Schizosaccharomycetes; Schizosaccharomycetales; Schizosaccharomycetaceae
Source: the annotation of a GenBank genome assembly
CAAAAGUCGUACACUGGUAUCUUCGCCAGCAAUUAAAAGAGAAUACAACCCCAUAGUUUCAAAAGUGGGCUUCCAUAAAAUUUGGUUAAUUGACUCCAUAGGAGCCAUGUGGUCUGGUAAACGUGUUGGGUACCAUUUGGUAAGAUUCUCUCUCGGGCAUCUCCAAAUAAAUAUUUUACCAGCUUCAGUUCCUACCGCAAGCAAGAGUUCAUCGUUGUGAAAGAACGGAGCAAAGUCAACAGCGGUAACAGCAUCAGAAAAUUGGAGAGCA